This 48-nucleotide ribosomal RNA is filed under the name Plectostoma concinnum. Its description in RNAcentral is "partial 5.8S ribosomal RNA". It matches the Rfam family "5.8S ribosomal RNA", at positions 1 to 48 of the family's 154-position model. Rfam says of the family: 5.8S ribosomal RNA (5.8S rRNA) is a component of the large subunit of the eukaryotic ribosome. The record is from RNAcentral. RNAcentral also lists the same sequence under 1 other name. Lineage: Eukaryota; Metazoa; Mollusca; Gastropoda; Architaenioglossa; Diplommatinidae.
CACUUUAGGCGGUGGAUCACUUGGCUCGUGCGUCGAUGAAGAACGCAG